This 496-nucleotide ribosomal RNA is filed under the name uncultured bacterium. RNAcentral describes it as "partial 16S ribosomal RNA". It matches the Rfam family "Bacterial small subunit ribosomal RNA", at positions 29 to 507 of the family's 1533-position model. The record is from RNAcentral.
AUGAACGCUGGCGGCGUGCCUAAUACAUGCAAGUCGAGCGAACAGACGAGGAGCUUGCUCCUCUGACGUUAGCGGCGGACGGGUGAGUAACACGUGGAUAACCUACCUAUAAGACUGGGAUAACUUCGGGAAACCGGAGCUAAUACCGGAUAAUAUAUUGAACCGCAUGGUUCAAUAGUGAAAGACGGUUUUGCUGUCACUUAUAGAUGGAUCCGCGCCGCAUUAGCUAGUUGGUAAGGUAACGGCUUACCAAGGCGACGAUGCGUAGCCGACCUGAGAGGGUGAUCGGCCACACUGGAACUGAGACACGGUCCAGACUCCUACGGGAGGCAGCAGUAGGGAAUCUUCCGCAAUGGGCGAAAGCCUGACGGAGCAACGCCGCGUGAGUGAUGAAGGUCUUCGGAUCGUAAAACUCUGUUAUUAGGGAAGAACAAAUGUGUAAGUAACUAUGCACGUCUUGACGGUACCUAAUCAGAAAGCCACGGCUAAGUACGUG